CCUACGGGAGGCAGCAGUGGGGGAUAUUGCACAAUGGGGGAAACCCUGAUGCCGCGACGCCGCGUGUGGGAAGACGGUCCUCUGGAUUGUAAACCACUGUCCCCAGGGACGAAGAUGACGGUACCUGGGGAGGAAGCUCCGGCUACCUACGUGACAGCAGCCGCGGUAAUACGUAGGGAGCGAGCGUUGUCCGGAAUUACUGGGUGUAAAUGGAGGGUAGGCGGGGAUGCAAGUGGGGUGUCAAAACUACCGGCUCAACUGGUAGUCGCACUCAAAACUGCAGCUCUUGAGUGAAGUAGAGGCAGGCGGAAUUCCUAGUGGUGCGGUGAAAUGCGUAGAUAUUAGGAGGAACACCAGUGGCGAAGGCGGCCUGCUGGGCUUUUACUGACGCUGAGGCUCGAAAGUGUGGGGAGCAAACAGGAUUAGAUACCCCUGUAGUC
This 440-nucleotide ribosomal RNA is filed under the name uncultured bacterium. Its description in RNAcentral is "partial 16S ribosomal RNA". It matches the Rfam family "Bacterial small subunit ribosomal RNA", at positions 338 to 795 of the family's 1533-position model. The record is from RNAcentral.